This 99-nucleotide non-coding RNA is filed under the name unclassified sequences. RNAcentral describes it as "DUF3800-V RNA". It matches the Rfam family "DUF3800-V RNA". The record is from Rfam by way of RNAcentral.
AUAAAUGAGCGGUAAGACCUUUGUGGGUUGUUCUGUGUGUUCCCUUCCAUAGGUUGGCCACAGCACAGACGCAACAGGCCCGCAGGGCACGCUCUUUUU